AUGAACGCUGGCGGCGUGCUUAACACAUGCAAGUCGAACGGUGAAGGCGGAGCUUGCUCUGCUGGAUCAGUGGCGAACGGGUGAGUAACACGUGAGCAAUCUGCCCCUGACUCUGGGAUAAGCGCUGGAAACGGCGUCUAAUACUGGAUACGAGCUGCGAAGGCAUCUUCAGCAGCUGGAAAGAAUUUCGGUCAGGGAUGAGCUCGCGGCCUAUCAGCUUGUUGGUGAGGUAAUGGCUCACCAAGGCGUCGACGGGUAGCCGGCCUGAGAGGGUGACCGGCCACACUGGGACUGAGACACGGCCCAGACUCCUACGGGAGGCAGCAGUGGGGAAUAUUGCACAAUGGGCGAAAGCCUGAUGCAGCAACGCCGCGUGAGGGACGACGGCCUUCGGGUUGUAAACCUCUUUUAGCAGGGAAGAAGCGAAAGUGACGGUACCUGCAGAAAAAGCGCCGGCUAGCUACGUG
Molecule: ribosomal RNA, 467 nt
Filed under: uncultured bacterium
Lineage: Bacteria
Description: partial 16S ribosomal RNA
Rfam family: Bacterial small subunit ribosomal RNA
Source: RNAcentral